This is a non-coding RNA of Triticum aestivum (bread wheat), 135 nucleotides long. The record is from Rfam. NCBI's taxonomy places the organism in Eukaryota, Viridiplantae, Streptophyta, Magnoliopsida, Poales, Poaceae.
AAUGUACUCCCUCUGUCCCAAAACUCUUGUCUUAGAUUUGUCCAAAUACGGAUGUAUCAAGUCACGUUUUAGUAUUAGGUACAUCCGUAUCUAGACAAAUGUAAGACAAGAAUUUUGGGACCGAGGGAGUACAUG